RNAcentral lists this long non-coding RNA (378 nucleotides) under Oryza sativa Indica Group (long-grained rice). Its description in RNAcentral is "lncRNA OsZS97_08G000010". The record is from RNAcentral. Lineage: Eukaryota; Viridiplantae; Streptophyta; Magnoliopsida; Poales; Poaceae.
UUUCGUUUAUUCGUUUUUCCCUUCAUCUUCUCUUUUGCUCUCCUUCCUCCUCCCCCUUCUUCUUCUUCCUCCGAAUUCGAGCGGAGGACAGAGGCGGCGGCGACCGUGUGGAUGGGGCUUAGCAGGCGGCGGCAUCGACGGGACGGGGAGGGAUCGAGGAGUCGGCUCGCCACCUCGCAUUCGCGACCUUCAAAUGCAAGCUAUGAGUAAAUUUCCUAGAAACAUGCACCUGGGGAGAACAUUGAUGAGGUUCCUUGUUCAAAUUUCUACUGUCUACUACUGCUUAAAAGUUAAAACCUUCAGUAGGUAUGUCUUUCCAACCAACAUCAUUAAAUGCGAUGCUCCAGUUUGGUUAUGUUGGCUUGGCAAUUCUGUGAU